This 253-nucleotide ribosomal RNA is filed under the name uncultured bacterium. RNAcentral describes it as "partial 16S ribosomal RNA". It matches the Rfam family "Bacterial small subunit ribosomal RNA", at positions 524 to 776 of the family's 1533-position model. The record is from RNAcentral.
UACGUAGGGGGCAAGCGUUGUCCGGAAUCAUUGGGCGUAAAGCGCGCGUAGGCGGCCCGAUAAGUCCGCUGUGAAAGUCAAAGGCUCAACCUUUGAAAGCCGAUGGAUACUGUGAGGCUAGAGUCCGGAAGAGGCGAGUGGAAUUCCUGGUGUAGCGGUGGAAUGCGCAGAUAUCAGGAGGAACACCAAUAGCGAAGGCAGCUCGCUGGGACGGUACUGACGCUAAGGCGCGAAAGCGUGGGGAGCGAACAGG